CAGUAGCCGCGGGAAUACGUAGGUGGCAAGCGUUGUCCGGAAUUAUUGGGCGUAAAGGGCUCGCAGGCGGUUUCUUAAGUCUGAUGUGAAAGCCCCCGGCUCAACCGGGGAGGGUCAUUGGAAACUGAGAAACUUGAGUGCAGAAGAGGAGAGUGGAAUUCCACGUGUAGCGGUGAAAUGCGUAGAGAUGUGGAGGAACACCAGUGGCGAAGGCGACUUUCUGGUCUGUAACUGACGCUGGGGAGCGAAAGCGUGGGGAGCGAACAGGAUUAGAUACCCCAGUAGUCCCUGUCUCUUAUAC
This 301-nucleotide ribosomal RNA is filed under the name uncultured bacterium. Its description in RNAcentral is "partial 16S ribosomal RNA". It matches the Rfam family "Bacterial small subunit ribosomal RNA", at positions 509 to 807 of the family's 1533-position model. The record is from RNAcentral.